Callorhinus ursinus (northern fur seal) is the source of this 138-nucleotide non-coding RNA. The record is from RefSeq and is a predicted model, not a curated record. Lineage: Eukaryota; Metazoa; Chordata; Mammalia; Carnivora; Otariidae.
UCUCUAAGCCACUCCGAGAGUGAUUUACAUAAACUUCUUUGAGUCAGAUAGAGGUCACUUAGAUAAACUGACGUGAAUUUAUUACUAGAGUUUUCAACAUUUUAUUUACUCAAUAAAGAUGAUACCCCAUGAUCAUAU